GUGGGGAAUAUUGGACAAUGGGCGAAAGCCUGAUCCAGCCAUGCCGCGUGUGUGAAGAAGGUCUUCGGAUUGUAAAGCACUUUAAGUUGGGAGGAAGGGCAGUAAGUUAAUACCUUGCUGUUUUGACGUUACCGACAGAAUAAGCACCGGCUAACUUCGUGCCAGCAGCCGCGGUAAUACGAAGGGUGCAAGCGUUAAUCGGAAUUACUGGGCGUAAAGCGCGCGUAGGUGGUUUUGUAAGUUGGAGGUGAAAUCCCCGGGCUCAACCUGGGAACUACCUGCAAAACUGCAUGACUAGAGUACGGUAGAGGGUAGUGGAAGUUCCUGUGUAGCGGUGAAAUGCGUAGAUAUAGGAAGGAACACCAGUGGCGAAGGCGACUACCUGGACUGAUACUGACACUGAGGUGCGAAAGCGUGGGGAGCAAACAGGAUUAGAAACCCGGGUAGUCC
This 450-nucleotide ribosomal RNA is filed under the name uncultured bacterium. RNAcentral's name for it is "partial 16S ribosomal RNA". It matches the Rfam family "Bacterial small subunit ribosomal RNA", at positions 354 to 796 of the family's 1533-position model. The record is from RNAcentral.